AACGAACGCUGGCGGCGUGCCUAACACAUGCAAGUCGAACGAGAAAGUUUCCUUCGGGAAAUGAGUAGAGUGGCGCACGGGUGAGUAACACGUGGAUAAUCUGCCUGAUAAUCUGGGAUAACAUUUCGAAAGAAGUGCUAAUACCGGAUAAGCCCACAGUAUCUUCGGGUACAGCGGGAAAAGAUGGCCUCUUCUUGAAAGCUAUUGUUAUCAGAUGAGUCCGCGGUCCAUUAGCUAGUUGGUGGGGUAAUGGCCCACCAAGGCGACGAUGGAUAGCUGGUUUGAGAGAAUGAUCAGCCACACUGGAACUGAGACACGGGUCCAGACUCCUACGGGGA
Molecule: ribosomal RNA, 338 nt
Filed under: uncultured Desulfuromonadaceae bacterium
Lineage: Bacteria; Pseudomonadati; Thermodesulfobacteriota; Desulfuromonadia; Desulfuromonadales; Desulfuromonadaceae
Description: bacterial SSU rRNA
Rfam family: Bacterial small subunit ribosomal RNA
Source: RNAcentral